CGGUUCUCCUUCGGAGCCGAGGCUGUAUCGUAACCAGGCUGUGAACGGUCGAGCAUGGGUAUGAUACGACCUCAGUUCGCUGGAGCCUCUC
Molecule: microRNA precursor, 91 nt
Filed under: Poecilia formosa (Amazon molly)
Lineage: Eukaryota; Metazoa; Chordata; Actinopteri; Cyprinodontiformes; Poeciliidae
Description: miRNA (ENSPFOG00000021010.1)
Source: RNAcentral